CCAUUCCACUAGAGGUGCUGUUGUGAACAGCUGAGAUUGAAGUAAACUUCGGGACUCUUAUGACCUGAUCUAGUUAAUACUAGCGGAGGCAAGUGAUUUGGGCACAGC
This 108-nucleotide non-coding RNA is filed under the name Wohlfahrtiimonas chitiniclastica. Its description in RNAcentral is "TPP sequence". It matches the Rfam family "TPP riboswitch aptamer (THI element)". Rfam says of the family: Vitamin B(1) in its active form thiamin pyrophosphate (TPP) is an essential coenzyme that is synthesised by coupling of pyrimidine and thiazole moieties in bacteria. The previously detected thiamin-regulatory element, thi box was extended, resulting in a new, highly conserved RNA secondary structure, the THI element, which is widely distributed in eubacteria and also occurs in some archaea. Analysis of operon structures identified a large number of new candidate thiamin-regulated genes, mostly transporters, in various prokaryotic organisms. Lineage: Bacteria; Pseudomonadati; Pseudomonadota; Gammaproteobacteria; Cardiobacteriales; Ignatzschineriaceae. The record is from RNAcentral. RNAcentral also lists the same sequence under 1 other name.